AUGGCGGCCGCGGCGCGGGAGGGGGAGUUCAGCGAGCGCGAGCUCGAGGUGGCCGCCAUUCUCGCCGACCUGCCGUCCAUCGUGCGGGCCUGCAACCGCCGCCGCCGCCAGCAGGAGAAGCAGCAGCAGGCGCGGCCGGAGAUCCCCUCCUGGGGCCGGCGCCGGCCGCGGAGGGCCCCGGCGGCGCCGCCGGCCGAGAAGCCCGCGGCGGCCGGUGAUGACGAGAGGAGCGAGGGCGUCGCCAGCCCGGACACCCCGCUCGCCUUCCCGGAGGACGACGAGCACGCCGAGGCCGCCGCCGCGGCGGCCGUGGAGGACGCGGCCAAGGCCACCGCGCAGGACAAGGUGAGCCGCCGGGCCGCGAGAUCUGCGCCCGCCCGCCUCCCUCCGCCAAUCCGGCCCGCCUCGAUUCCGAUUUCUCGCUCCUCGUUGACGUCUCCCUCUGUUCAGUGGGCGCAGGAGCAGCGCGGCGUGGUCGCGAGCUUGUCCCACGAGAACGCCCAUCUCCUAAAGCAAAUCGAGGACUUCAGGGCCCGGCUGCACACCUCGCGGAGCACCAACGACAGCCUCAAGCAGAUUCACCAGAGCAAGCACAAGAAGCGGCACCGGCCGGAGGAGGAGGAGGAGGGGCAUAGAUGGAAGCUGCCGCAGGCGCGCGCCGCCGACCGGCCGGCGCUGGACCUCAACGAGCCGGCGGAGGCCGACGCCGAGGACGGCAGGCCGCCGCAGACUGCCGCUCUGGCGGCGGCGCAGUGGGUCCACCGAGGGCACCACCAGCAGAACCAGCAGCAGCAGCUGAUGCAGAUGCAGCACAAGGCGGCGCGGCGGCGGCGGCAGGAGAUCCGGCGGGCCAAGGCCGCGGCGGGCAGGACGCGGCGGCAAGGAUAA
RNAcentral lists this ribosomal RNA (888 nucleotides) under Triticum aestivum (bread wheat). RNAcentral describes it as "partial small subunit ribosomal RNA". Lineage: Eukaryota; Viridiplantae; Streptophyta; Magnoliopsida; Poales; Poaceae. The record is from RNAcentral.